GGGGGACUUCAUAGAUUCUGAUCUUCAUCCUGAGGAUGAUGCUUUGGAUUUCUGACACGGUGUUUCCUUCUGGAUCAUUGCUGUUAUGGUUUUUCUGAAUCCAUUAGUUUGCGCUUUGUGCCUUCAAUGGGUUAUCUUUAUUUUUUUUUCUUGUUUUUGUUUUUCGGUUUCAUUUCUCAAUAAAAUUUUUAUUUUCAGCAGUCGCACCAAGUGGAGGAAUGGAUGACAGAAAUGGGCCCAUUAACACCAUCCAUUCUAUUUGUUUCGAGAUAUAUUGUCUCAAGUGUUGACACAAAUGGUUUGAAUGGAGCUAUUAGCACCAUUGGUUCCGGC
Molecule: long non-coding RNA, 333 nt
Filed under: Salvia miltiorrhiza (redroot sage)
Lineage: Eukaryota; Viridiplantae; Streptophyta; Magnoliopsida; Lamiales; Lamiaceae
Description: long non-coding RNA (SMIL_LNC000369)
Source: RNAcentral